RNAcentral lists this ribosomal RNA (498 nucleotides) under uncultured bacterium. Its description in RNAcentral is "bacterial SSU rRNA". It matches the Rfam family "Bacterial small subunit ribosomal RNA", at positions 19 to 518 of the family's 1533-position model. The record is from RNAcentral.
CUGGCUCAGGAUGAACGCUGGCGGCGUGCUUAACACAUGCAAGUCGAACGAGGGUUGCUGGUUGAAGUUUCGGAUGGAAACCGGUAAUUCCUAGUGGCGGACGGGUGAGUAACGCGUGGGGAACCUGCCCCGCUCCGGGGGAUACCAGCUGGAAACGGCUGUUAAUACCGCAUAAGCGCACAGCAUUGCAUGAUGCAGUGUGAAAAACUCCGGUGGAACGGGAUGGCCCCGCGUCUGAUUAGCCAGUUGGCAGGGUAACGGCCUACCAAAGCGACGAUCAGUAGCCGGCCUGAGAGGGCGACCGGCCACAUUGGGACUGAGACACGGCCCAAACUCCUACGGGAGGCAGCAGUGGGGAAUAUUGCACAAUGGGGGAAACCCUGAUGCAGCGACGCCGCGUGAGUGAGGAAGUAUUUCGGUAUGUAAAGCUCUAUCAGCAGGGAAGAAGAUGACGGUACCUGCACAAGAAGCCCCGGCUAACUACGUGCCAGCCGCGGC